Molecule: ribosomal RNA, 406 nt
Filed under: Shigella flexneri
Lineage: Bacteria; Pseudomonadati; Pseudomonadota; Gammaproteobacteria; Enterobacterales; Enterobacteriaceae
Description: bacterial SSU rRNA
Rfam family: Bacterial small subunit ribosomal RNA
Source: RNAcentral
AGGCGACGAUCCCUAGCUGGUCUGAGAGGAUGACCAGCCACACUGGAACUGAGACACGGUCCAGACUCCUACGGGAGGCAGCAGUGGGGAAUAUUGCACAAUGGGCGCAAGCCUGAUGCAGCCAUGCCGCGUGUAUGAAGAAGGCCUUCGGGUUGUAAAGUACUUUCAGCGGGGAGGAAGGGAGUAAAGUUAAUACCUUUGCUCAUUGACGUUACCCGCAGAAGAAGCACCGGCUAACUCCGUGCCAGCAGCCGCGGUAAUACGGAGGGUGCAAGCGUUAAUCGGAAUUACUGGGCGUAAAGCGCACGCAGGCGGUUUGUUAAGUCAGAUGUGAAAUCCCCGGGCUCAACCUGGGAACUGCAUCUGAUACUGGCAAGCUUGAGUCUCGUAGAGGGGGGUAGAAUUC